AUGCAGGUAUUAUUAUAAUAUAACAGAAGUGCUUUAUUGCUAUUCUUUCUGCUUAAAGAGGGAGAUAUACAUAACUAUCUCUAACUGCUUUCCAUAAUAAGACAGAAAUGUUUGGUCUCAAACAC
This 125-nucleotide small nucleolar RNA is filed under the name Carlito syrichta (Philippine tarsier). RNAcentral describes it as "Small nucleolar RNA SNORA63 (ENSTSYG00000019905.2)". The record is from RNAcentral. Lineage: Eukaryota; Metazoa; Chordata; Mammalia; Primates; Tarsiidae.